UAGGGAAUUUUUCACAAUGGGCGAAAGCCUGAUGGAGCAAUGCCGCGUGACUGAUGAAGGUCUUCGGAUUGUAAAGGUCUGUUGUAAGGGAAGAAGUGCUAGAAUAGGAAAUGAUUUUAGUAUCGACCAUACCUUACCAGAAAGCCACGGCUAACUAUGUGCCAGCAGCCGCGGUAAUACAUAGGUGGCAAGCGUUAUCCGGAUUUAUUGGGCGUAAAGCGUGCGUAGACGGUUUUGCAAGUCUGAGGUUAAAUUUAGGGGCUCAACCCCUAACCGCCUUGGAAACUACAUUACUAGAGUAUAGGAGAGGUUAGUGGAAUUUCAUGUGUAGCGGUGGAAUGCGUAGAUAUAUGAAGGAACACCAGUGGCGAAGGCGGCUAACUGGCCUAUUACUGACGUUGUGGCACGAAAGCGUGGGGAGCAAAUAGG
Molecule: ribosomal RNA, 429 nt
Filed under: uncultured bacterium
Lineage: Bacteria
Description: bacterial SSU rRNA
Rfam family: Bacterial small subunit ribosomal RNA
Source: RNAcentral